Molecule: ribosomal RNA, 301 nt
Filed under: Erpobdella costata
Lineage: Eukaryota; Metazoa; Annelida; Clitellata; Hirudinida; Erpobdellidae
Description: eukaryotic LSU rRNA
Rfam family: Eukaryotic large subunit ribosomal RNA
Source: RNAcentral
GACCCGUCUUGAAGCACGGACCAAGGAGUCUAACACGUGCGCAAGUCGCAGGGCAGUACGAAACCCGGAGGCGAAAUGAAAGUGAAGGCCUGCCUCGCGCAGGCCCGGGUGGGAUCCCGCGGAGAGGCAACUCUCGACGGGCGCACCACCGGCCCGUCUCGGCCGCGUCGUCGGCGAGGCGGAGCAAGAGCGUACUUGUUGGGACCCGAAAGAUGGUGAACUAUGCCUGAGCAGGACGAAGCCAGAGGAAACUCUGGUGGAGGUCCGUAGCGAUUCUGACGUGCAAAUCGAUCGUCUGACU